AACCCAUUCUUCUUACUAAAACAACGUAGUUUUGGUUAAUAAAUAAAUCCUAAAUUGCUUAUCCCUUCUCAUUUUCAUCUUGCCCUUUAUCUUUCUAAAUUUAUUCCUUCUCUCUAAUUCCUUCGUCCUCUUUCUUUAAUAUUUCAUCGUAAACCUCAACAACUCUAGAAACAAACGGUUGUCGUCGACCUCGUUUAUUGACAAUAUUUUCAUCCCAAAUUUCAUCAAAAAGUUCCCCUUUUCCUUUUCUUUCUUGUUAUCUAGUUGGUUUCUCGGAAAAUUCCCUAAAUUUUUCUAGACCUAAAGUCAAAACUCGCAGAUUCAAGACCCAAAAUAGCCUUCCUUUGUCGCUAAAAAACCCUUAUUUUUCACUAUGUUCUUCCCCUUGUUUUAAGCUUUUCUCUUCCAUAAACCCAAUCCCAAAACCUUCUAGAACCCUCAUAACUUGAAAACUAUUUUCUCUUUCCUAAUUUUUUUUGUUUUGUUUUUUGUUUACCUUUUUUUUGGGUAUUGUGUUGCUUGUUUAUUAUGUGGUUAUUUGGUGGUUAAGCUAGAAGGCGGGGAUAAUGGGAAGAGUAUGGGUAAAGUAGAGCUUUUUUAUUUUUAUAUUAUA
Molecule: long non-coding RNA, 613 nt
Filed under: Durio zibethinus
Lineage: Eukaryota; Viridiplantae; Streptophyta; Magnoliopsida; Malvales; Malvaceae
Description: long non-coding RNA (DZIB_LNC000696)
Source: RNAcentral